Molecule: ribosomal RNA, 253 nt
Filed under: uncultured bacterium
Lineage: Bacteria
Description: partial 16S ribosomal RNA
Rfam family: Bacterial small subunit ribosomal RNA
Source: RNAcentral
UACGAAGGGGGCGAGCGUUGUUCGGAUUUACUGGGCGUAAAGGGCGCGCAGGCGGCGCAUUUUGUCAGGCGUGAAAGCCCCGGGCUUAACCUGGGAACUGCGUUUGAUACGGAUGGGCUAGAGUUCGGGAGAGGAGAGUGGAAUUCCCAGUGUAGAGGUGAAAUUCGUAGGUAUUGGGAAGAACACCGGUGGCGAAGGCGGCUCUCUGGACCGAGACUGACGCUGAGGCGCGAAAGCGUGGGGAGCGAACAGG